GUGAGGAAUUUUCCGCAAUGGGCGAAAGCCUGACGGAGCAAUGCCGCGUGAAGGAUGAAGGCCUAUGGGUUGUAAACUUCUUUUCUCAGAAAAGAAUUAUGACGGUAUCUGAGGAAUAAGCAUCGGCUAACUCUGUGCCAGCAGCCGCGGUAAUACGAAGGUCCCAAGCGUUGUUCGGAAUCACUGGGCGUAAAGGGAGCGUAGGCUGCGCGGUAAGUCAGGUGUGAAAUCCCGGGGCUCAACCCCGGAACUGCACCCGAUACUGCCGUGCUAGAGGGUUGGAGAGGUGACUGGAAUUCUCGGUGUAGCAGUGAAAUGCGUGGAUAUCGAGAGGAACACUCGUGGCGAAGGCGAGUCACUGGACAACAUCUGACGCUGAGGCUCGAAGGCCAGGGGAGCAAAAGGGAUUAGAUACCCGGGUAGUCC
RNAcentral lists this ribosomal RNA (426 nucleotides) under uncultured bacterium. Its description in RNAcentral is "bacterial SSU rRNA". It matches the Rfam family "Bacterial small subunit ribosomal RNA", at positions 354 to 796 of the family's 1533-position model. The record is from RNAcentral.